CGCAGUAAUUGUGUGCAGCAUCC
This 23-nucleotide microRNA is filed under the name Gallus gallus (chicken). RNAcentral's name for it is "microRNA Ros-gga". The record is from RNAcentral. Lineage: Eukaryota; Metazoa; Chordata; Aves; Galliformes; Phasianidae.